This 1119-nucleotide long non-coding RNA is filed under the name Dermacentor andersoni. RNAcentral's name for it is "uncharacterized LOC126547796". Lineage: Eukaryota; Metazoa; Arthropoda; Arachnida; Ixodida; Ixodidae. The record is from RNAcentral.
UUUAUUGUGGAUCAAAAAGCUCGAUUGGUGCUUUCGCAACGCCCUUGCAGCGGCAGUAUUCGCGGUAGAUCACCUUCGUGAGUAUCGCUUUCAGUGAGCAUUCAUUUGGACAAAUGCGCAGACAGGAUGCAUCUCGAGUCAGUGAGGGUAUACCGCGUGAGACGUUACGUCAUGAAAAACGCUAAAUUAUCGCCGAACGUGAACAAUUUGACAAUGCGGCACCCACCAGUGUUAAGACUCGACACCAAACCAUUUAAACCAACUAAAGCGGAGAUUCUGCUGCGGCCUUCCAAAGCUGGCGCAUGAAAUCAUGCGGUCCCCCAGAAACAGUAACCAGCGAUCCAUGUGUGCACGGACGGCACAACCUUACGCAUAAAGGAAAAAGUAAAUAAGUAAGAAAGAAAGAAACAAACGAAGAAUGCCAGCUCGCGUCCUGCAGGCGCCAACGUAAGCAGGUUGCCUUAUAUAAUCGAAACAUCCAUGCGCACUCGCGAACACGGCACUGAGACAGGCCUCGAUGGUGCGGAGAAUAGAAGAAACAAAAACAGAGCUACGCUGGCUGCAAAACGAAAAGGCGCGAGGAAGGCGGCGAAGCGAUGACGUCCACAAUCCUUCGUUCGCAGGCAGUUUCAGUCGAGGAACUGCGGUUUUCAGUGACCACACUCUGCGUUUUGCCAGUCGGUUAAGGGAUCCUCAGGUGGCACUUCAAUACCAACCUCGUAUUAUUUAAAGCACUGUAAAUUAUCUGCAAGGGACAGCCGCGUUAACUCUACAUUGGACAUGCUCUACGUCAACUGCAUGCUGAUAUCUAUUCCUUGCUUCCUCACAGAUCAGUAUCCCUGCAUAAAGAAAGCGAAAAAAAAAGAAAACGGCGCUUCUCACCACGAGGAAUGUAAUGCGUUCGGACGCUUACGUGGUCGGAUUAUAUAGCAGCUGAAACAAGUGCUCCAGAGGCGAAGCAUCUACAAGACAAGACAACAUGGCUUUCCGUGCCGUAGCAUCUGGCCUUCCAGCAGUACAAGCAUGCUGCUUUAAGACUGGUACAUUUUCCUCUGUUAUAGGCUGCCUUCUAGCCUGUACUAAAGCGACAUAAUAAACGCCAUUAACUCACUGUGUCGA